This is a non-coding RNA of Pteropus alecto (black flying fox), 45 nucleotides long. NCBI's taxonomy places the organism in Eukaryota, Metazoa, Chordata, Mammalia, Chiroptera, Pteropodidae. The record is from Rfam.
UCAAAGGCUCUUUUCAGAGCCACUCACUUUGUCUCAAUGACCUGU